GGCCCCGCGUGCAUUAGCUAGUUGGUAAGGUAACGGCUUACCAAGGCAAUGAUGCAUAGCCGAGUUGAGAGACUGAUCGGCCACAUUGGGACUGAGACACGGCCCAAACUCCUACGGGAGGCAGCAGUAGGGAAUCUUCCACAAUGGACGCAAGUCUGAUGGAGCAACGCCGCGUGAGUGAAGAAGGUUUUCGGAUCGUAAAGCUCUGUUGUUGGUGAAGAAGGAUAGAGGUAGUAACUGGCCUUUAUUUGACGGUAAUCAACCAGAAAGUCACGGCUAACUACGUGCCAGCAGCCGCGGUAAUACGUAGGUGGCAAGCGUUGUCCGGAUUUAUUGGGCGUAAAGCGAGCGCAGGCGGAAGAAUAAGUCUGAUGUGAAAGCCCUCGGCUUAACCGAGGAACUGCAUCGGAAACUGUUUUUCUUGAGUGCAGAAGAGGAGAGUGGAAUUCCAUGUGUAGCGGUGGAAUGCGUAGAUAUAUGGAAGAACACCAGUGGCGAAGGCGACUCUCUGGUCUGCAACUGACGCUGAGGCUCGAAAGCAUGGGUAGCGAACAGGAUUAGAUACCCUGGUAGUCCAUGCCGUAAACGAUGAGUGCUAAGUGUUGGGAGGUUUCCGCCUCUCAGUGCUGCAGCUAACGCAUUAAGCACUCCGCCUGGGGAGUACGACCGCAAGGUUGAAACUCAAAGGAAUUGACGGGGGCCCGCACAAGCGGUGGAGCAUGUGGUUUAAUUCGAAGCAACGCGAAGAACCUUACCAGGUCUUGACAUCUAGUGCCAUCCUAAGAGAUUAGGAGUUCCCUUCGGGGACGCUAAGACAGGUGGUGCAUGGCUGUCGUCAGCUCGUGUCGUGAGAUGUUGGGUUAAGUCCCGCAACGAGCGCAACCCUUGUUAUUAGUUGCCAGCAUUAAGUUGGGCACUCUAAUGAGACUGCCGGUGAUAAACCGGAGGAAGGUGGGGAUGACGUCAAGUCAUCAUGCCCCUUAUGACCUGGGCUACACACGUGCUACAAUGGACAGUACAACGAGAAGCGAGCCUGCGAAGGCAAGCGAAUCUCUGAAAGCUGUUCUCAGUUCGGACUGCAGUCUGCAACUCGACUGCACGAAGCUGGAAUCGCUAGUAAUCGCGGAUCAGAACGCCGCGGUGAAUACGUUCCCGGGCCUUGUACACACCGCCCGUCACACCAUGGAAGUCUGCAAUGCCCAAAGCCGGUGGCCUAACCUUCGGGAAGGAGCC
RNAcentral lists this ribosomal RNA (1233 nucleotides) under Lacticaseibacillus rhamnosus. Its description in RNAcentral is "bacterial SSU rRNA". It matches the Rfam family "Bacterial small subunit ribosomal RNA", at positions 228 to 1454 of the family's 1533-position model. The record is from RNAcentral. Lineage: Bacteria; Bacillati; Bacillota; Bacilli; Lactobacillales; Lactobacillaceae.